This 432-nucleotide ribosomal RNA is filed under the name uncultured bacterium. Its description in RNAcentral is "partial 16S ribosomal RNA". It matches the Rfam family "Bacterial small subunit ribosomal RNA", at positions 29 to 507 of the family's 1533-position model. The record is from RNAcentral.
AACGAACGCUGGCGGCAUGCCUAACACAUGCAAGUCGAACGAGACCUUCGGGUCUAGUGGCGCACGGGUGCGUAACGCGUGGGAACCUGCCCUUAGGUUCGGAAUAACUCCCCGAAAGGGGUGCUAAUACCGGAUAAUGUCUUCGGACCAAAGAUUUAUCGCCUUUGGAUGGGCCCGCGUUGGAUUAGCUAGUUGGUAGGGUAAAAGCCUACCAAGGCGACGAUCAAUAGCUGGUCUGGGAGGAUGAUCAGCCACACUGGGACUGAGACACGGCCCAGACACCGGAGGAGGGGCGAAGGGGGGAAUAUGGGACAAGGGGGGAGGGCAGAAGGAAAUAAGGCCGGGGAGGAGAUGAAGGCGGGAGGGAGGAAAAGCUGUUUACCCCGGGAUGAUAAGAAGAGUCCAGGAGAAUAAGACCCGGCUAACUUCGUG